RNAcentral lists this ribosomal RNA (650 nucleotides) under uncultured bacterium. RNAcentral describes it as "bacterial SSU rRNA". It matches the Rfam family "Bacterial small subunit ribosomal RNA", at positions 28 to 657 of the family's 1533-position model. The record is from RNAcentral.
AACGAACGUUGGCGGCGUGGAUUAGGCAUGCAAGUCAUACGGGAUCCGGGGUAACUCGGGUCUAGUGGCGAACGGGUGAGUAUCGCGUGGGAAACCUGCCCUUGAGACGGGGAUAACACCUCCAACGGGGUGCUAAUACCGGAUAAGACCACGGAGUCGCAUGGCUCUGCGGUCAAAGGUGGCCUCUACUUGUAAGCUACCACUUAAGGAUAGUCCCGCGUCCCAUUAGCUAGUUGGUAGGGUAAUGGCCUACCAAGGCUACGAUGGGUAGCUGGUCUGAGAGGAUGGUCAGCCACACUGGGACUGAGAUACGGCCCAGACUCCUACGGGAGGCAGCAGUCGAGAGGCUUCGGCAAUGGGGGAAACCCUGACCGAGCGACGCCGCGUGGGCGAUGAAGGCCGUUAGGUUGUAAAGCCCUGUCGAGCGGGAAAAAUUGCAGGCGGGUGAACAAUCCGCUUGUUUGAUGGUACCGUUAAAGGAAGCUCCGGCCAACUCCGUGCCAGCAGCCGCGGUAAUACGGGGGGAGCGAACGUUGUUCGGAAUUACUGGGCGUAAAGGGCGUGCAGGCGGUCCUGUAAGAGAGUUGUGAAAUGCCCUGGCUCAACCAGGGAAAUGCACCUCUGACUGCAGGACUUGAGUAUGGGAGAGG